CAGAAUCAGACUCAAUUGUGGCAUCUACGUCUUGGUCAUACGAGUGAAAGAGGAUUAUCUGUGUUGAGCAAGCGGGAUUUAUUGAAUGGACAGAAAACAGAAUCUGUGGAUUUUUGUGAACAUUGUGUGUUUGGAAAACAGGCAAGGGUGAAGUUCGAUAAAAAGGCAGUGCGCAAGACUAGAGGAACAGUGGAUUAUAUCCACUCAGAUCUAUGGGGUCCUAACAGAAUCCCUUCCAAGAGCAGUGCUAGGUACUUCAUGACUUUGA
Molecule: unclassified non-coding RNA, 268 nt
Filed under: Hevea brasiliensis (rubber tree)
Lineage: Eukaryota; Viridiplantae; Streptophyta; Magnoliopsida; Malpighiales; Euphorbiaceae
Source: RNAcentral